GUGCUAACUUUGGCAGCAUGUGUACUGAAAUUGGAACGAUACAGAGAAGAUUAGCAUGGCCCCUGCACAAGGAUGGCAUGCAAAUUUGUGAAGCAUUCCAUAUUUUU
Molecule: small nuclear RNA, 107 nt
Organism: Choloepus hoffmanni (Hoffmann's two-fingered sloth)
Lineage: Eukaryota; Metazoa; Chordata; Mammalia; Pilosa; Megalonychidae
Source: Ensembl